UUUAUGUAAAAUAAACUAAUUGAUUUCUAUCAUUUAUUUGGUGUCUAAAGUUACCCAGUAGAACCAAUGAAAGGAAGAACUAUCCCCGGGAUUAUUUUUCAAUAAACCAAUGCGUGAUCACAAACUCAUCUGAUGUUGACCGAUGAUAUGGUUGAAAUUUGGUACGCGCUAGUCUAAGAGUAGAGCCAAAAAAUGCCUAUUGACUUUACACUUGAAACACAGACGCUGACAACAUGUUCUUUUGCUAUACAUGAAUUUGAAUAACAAAUAAUAAUUUACAUAUGUUUUACAGCCUGCAACAAAAGUUGGCUGUAUGUGCGUCACAAGAGGACCAUUGCCGAGAUUCAAGUUAAUUGGAAAUAUUCACUUUCCCAAAAUAAAGGUAACACCCGGUACCUACGUGUCCCUGCCAACUGAACCAAUGUCUACAGUGUGCCCGCCCUGUGUUUGCCCUUCUUGUAUCAAGAGUUCCGAUAUCGGGGGAUACCCAACUUACUGAAAUACAAGUUAAUUUAUUAAGAUUCAAUAAUUUACUUAAGUAUUUUAUAAUAGCGA
Long non-coding RNA from Papilio xuthus (Asian swallowtail), 555 nucleotides. RefSeq lists it as uncharacterized. The record is from RefSeq and is a predicted model, not a curated record. NCBI's taxonomy places the organism in Eukaryota, Metazoa, Arthropoda, Insecta, Lepidoptera, Papilionidae. The transcript has 5 exons.